Mauremys reevesii (Reeves's turtle) is the source of this 1371-nucleotide long non-coding RNA. RefSeq lists it as uncharacterized. The record is from RefSeq and is a predicted model, not a curated record. Lineage: Eukaryota; Metazoa; Chordata; Testudines; Geoemydidae. The transcript is spliced from 3 exons.
UUCUAUAGCUGUUCUUUGGGAUUAGCAAGUGGAAGGAUCAGGAAGGUCAAGGAGGAAUCCUCUACUAAAUAGUAAAGUCUGUCAAGAAGCCAGAAGUUAGCCAUUGAGGUGGAGGAAGCUCUGGUGGUGAACUCUGAUAAUAGAGCAGGUUCUAGAAUUCUGGGGGAGAGUUCUGGGAGAUGUCAAGUGAGGAACAGAGGGGUGAAAGGUCAAGCUUAAGGAGGGCAGAUGUGGGUUUAAAUUUCCUCUUGUGGUUUGGGAUUUACUGGGGGAUUCUGAGGAAGCAUCCUGGCUCUAAAAACAGGGUAAACUUAGAGAGGUAGUGAGAAAAGACCACAAUCAGGAAGUAGUCCAGGGAAGUGACAGCAAGGAGUUUAGCAGAGUGAACCUGUCCUGAGGCCCUACAGUGGGGCUCAACAUAGAUCGUGGGACUGGGUUCACCUAUCAGCCAGGGCAUGAAGCCUGGAGAAGGAAAUAAGAAUUAUGGAGAGCCCUGAGAGAAGAAUGUGUGAGGAUUAAGAGACACAGAGGGCUGAAGGCAUUUAGCCACCACCAGCACCUGCAUGUUAAACACAGCAACUGAAAUGAGUCCAAAGUAUUACAGACCACAGAAGAUUAAACUAUUGUCACAGGCUUCUACAAUGGCAGCUUGGAAAUCACACCUAGCAGUUCUUCAUUGUUGAGUGCAACUGCCCAGCUGACCAUGCCAGCUACAUGCUCCAGACGCAUUCCUGCCUGAGGUACACAAAAGAUAUUGGAUCCCCUGGGUCUGUUGGGAGAGAAGCCUGUGCAGGCACAGCACCAAACCAGCCAUAGCAACAUUGGCAUCUAUAAGCAGAUUGCUCAGGGGAUGCAGGAGAAAGAGCUAUGACAGGAACCAGCAGCAAUGCUGUGUGAAAGCCAAGGAGCAUACCAGAAGGCCAGGAAGGCCAAAAAUCGAUCUGGGGCCAAACUGCAGACCUGCUGCUUUCACAAGAAGCUGCCACCCUAGACACUUCUAAGGAGCCUGAGCAAAGGGCCUGGAAGAUGAACAUGCAGACAGGAUGAACAUUGCAGACAGCCUAGAGAAGGAAAGAGUGGAGAGUAGAAAGGCCCUUGAGUCCCAGCAAGAAAGGGAGAAGGUGAUGCACCAGGACAUACCCUCCUCCUCACCUAUCUGCCGCAGCUCAUUGAGAGCUCAAUAUUGGGACCUCCCUGUGCCCCCUAAAAUGUUCUUAUUUGACAUCAAGGGUUGCUGUACUACCUCUACCACUCCACCCGGGGGGACAUUAAAGAAUAUUACAGCUUCAUAUACACGGACAUAUGGAAGCCACAGUUGGUGUAUGUGUAUCUGAAAUAGACAUGCAGGUUCUUUCCCCUUCACAAGUUCUG